AUGAUGUGUCACUCAGCUCAUCUCAGCUCAGUUUACAUCUCAGCCCUCCAGCUUCAGACUCCAGAAAUAUCACAUUCAGUCAACAGCAGCUCAUGUCAAGCAGCCUAUUCAAACACAGAGUAUAAUCUCGGCAGACGGUAACGAGGGUCUACGGAUAGAAAACUGCAUACAUGACUUCUCAUCUGACACCUGGAGCGGGACGAGGGUGAUACAGGACAGAAAAAUACAGUCGACAUGAAUAAAACAGACAUAGAAACACACUUUUAACUAAAGGAUCUCGUCUGACCUGAAGAAGAGACGCAGUGACCUCAUGUGGCCCAGGUCAACUCCACAUAAUAGCUCUAAUGCCAUGACCUUCUGAUGCUCCUCCCACCAAACUCCCUAUGAUUGGUUGCUUUCGGAGGGGGCGUGGCUAUUCAGACUGGAGGCGGAGCUCGUAGAGUGAGCCAUGGGCUCACUGGAUUUAAUGGCAUAUAUAUUAAUAUUAAAGUAAUUAAAAGGAGAAAAGUGAUAAAACACUAAUUAUGAUGCAUGAACACUAAUUGAAAGUUUCAUUUUCUUUUUCUGUAAAGCUGCUAUAAAACAAUGUGUUUUAAAUGUUUCUACAUUACAGUUAGGAGUGUUUAUCCAAGUUCUGUCCACAUGGCAGAAAUGUACAGUUCAUAGAAAUGUACAGAUUAUACAAAUCAUGCAGUUAGUUAAUGUCACGCUUUCAUUCAAUUUCAUGCUUUCAGAAACAGUGAACAUAUUAAAGCAAUGAUUACAUGAUGUUGUCAUGAUGAUUAGAAAAAGGAAAUUUGUCAAAAGCACUAUAUUGACAAAGUGGAAGCCAAAAUUGUAACAUUAUUUUUGCAAUUACAUUCAAUAAUGUCAAUCAGUAAUGCAGAAAAAAAUGCCACUUGCCACAACCCACUUAACUCUCACAAUGCAAUG
Carassius auratus (goldfish) is the source of this 933-nucleotide long non-coding RNA. RefSeq lists it as uncharacterized. The transcript has 3 exons. The record is from RefSeq and is a predicted model, not a curated record. Lineage: Eukaryota; Metazoa; Chordata; Actinopteri; Cypriniformes; Cyprinidae.